GUUCACCUUGUAACACUUUGCAGGUCUUCUGAUCUUCACUUGUCAUGACGUCAUAGAGAGAAAAUAGCCAAAGAAUGUCUCAAGGUAUUCCUGCUGCUUCCUGAUACUUCAGACGACUCGUGCUGAUUCGGCAGAGCCUUGUGGUUUCUUCUGGAUCGAGCUGCUGCUACUGAUCCAUGGUUGGAAUCACCCCAAAGAACUACUUCUAAACAGGACCCGGGGACAGUCAGAAGAAAGCGUACAGCACAGUGCUGAUUUCUGCAUCAACCUCUUCAUUCAAAAUCCCCUUGAUGCCGGGGAUCAUGCUUAGAAAGCCAAAUCUUCCCUCUGAAGACGGAGAAGAACGAGGUUCCCCCAGGCUGGCCCAGUAUCUCUCAUACUUCAGCUGUGAAAUUUCCCCUCCUGGCAGUCGAGGGUCCAAAUGUUCAACAGCUGCAUGCUUCUCACUCAGUCUCUUGCCUGCAGGGCCAAGCAGAUGCAUAGUGUACUGUUUGCAAAGCACAAAGGAAUGAUUCUUUAUGUAGGCCAGUGCCACUAGCCCCAGCUCUCAGUGUGUCAUGGUCCUGGUCACCAUCACAGCCUCCACAUACUCUUAGCCCUUGAUAGGUUGGGACUGGGAAGACUGUACCUCAAAAAAAAAAAAGUUAUGGGCCUAUCCAGCUGGCAAGAUCUGAAAGUUCUCAUAUGUUUAUAUCACCAAGCUUGUUAUGGAUCUGAUACAAGGAAAUAAAGGAACAGCUUCACAAA
Long non-coding RNA from Mastomys coucha (southern multimammate mouse), 747 nucleotides. RefSeq lists it as uncharacterized. NCBI's taxonomy places the organism in Eukaryota, Metazoa, Chordata, Mammalia, Rodentia, Muridae. The transcript is spliced from 2 exons. The record is from RefSeq and is a predicted model, not a curated record.